Long non-coding RNA from Polyodon spathula (Mississippi paddlefish), 3013 nucleotides. RefSeq lists it as uncharacterized. The record is from RefSeq and is a predicted model, not a curated record. The transcript is spliced from 3 exons. NCBI's taxonomy places the organism in Eukaryota, Metazoa, Chordata, Actinopteri, Acipenseriformes, Polyodontidae.
AAGUUAACAGUUGCUCUAACUUACCAUGAAGGAGUCGCUCUAACUUACCGUGAAGAAGACCUGCUGAUGGGAAGGGAAUAUCCAGCAAAUGACAGCACCAACACUGCCCAGCGGAGAGGGAGCAGAGAGGGAAGGCACUGGAGUCGCCAAGACAAGUGUGGUUGUGCUGCACUUCUUUCAAAGGCAUUCCAUCAGCAGCUACAACUAUUAACGUCUACAGUACUCCAAGGUCAAAGCGAGACGGGUGCGGUGCAGCAAUCAGUUGCAAUGUAAUAAAUCCUGCCAUGUGGUUUGCCUUCUUGCUGUGGUCUUGCCAUCAGACAGACACUCAUCUGAUACUAGCGCUGCCUGCAUUGAUAUGGCUGACAGCGGAUUCUCUGUGCAGCCUCCUCGACACCUCCGGAUUUCCUUGUUUUCCACCCGGAGCAGCACUUAUCCUUUAUAUAAGGACUUUAUCUCCACAAUGGGAGGCUCUGUUUGCCUAAACCAGCUGGGAUCGACAGCACAAUAACUGUGUCUGUGUUGCAAGGGUCAGCCCUCGACACGCUCCAGCUCUCCUUGCGAAAACUAAUUCCCAGGACAUGUGUAGUACAAGCAAGGCACACAGGCAUGCUGUCACAGAAUACAGGACAAUAUACUACUGUACAGCGUAGUGAAAGCCUUUUAAAGCCCCAGAGUCCAGAUCCUGCAGGUUUACUGCCGUAGCUGCAGUUUGCAUGUUCAGUGUUUUAUGAUCUCAGGGUGUAGAUAUGAAGUGGUUAGUUGAGUUGCACACAUUUAGUCUUUCUUCACCCAUUCUGCUGUUUGUUACGAAGUACUGCAUCACCCAUAACCCCUGAUCUACACACCAUAGUCCUGACAUACACAUUAAGCCUUAUAGAACAGAAUAGAAUCACUGAUUUGUACUGUCCUGAGUGUCUUCCUAAGAUGCAUUGUUAAGUGAGUAUUUACCAAAAUCUGUUCUAUACCAAGUGAAUGCCAGACUAAAAAUCUCCUUUUGUAAGAGAUUUAACUGAGUCACGCUUAUUCAACCAGCAUUAAUACAGAGGGAUUUGACACGGCUGGACGUCACGGCUGCAUACUGAAACACGCUGGUUGUGAUUGCACUGCUUCUGUGUAAAAGGUCCUUUACCUACCUGGGUAAGUUUUGACAGCAGAGUCACAUCAAUAGGUCUUUCUGUUUGUUUGUGUUAUGAGGAUAGCAUCACUGGGAGGAAUGGUAGACUGCCAGGAAGGUGAAAGGUGAGGGCCUGACAACCUUCCUCUAUUCAUUGGGACUUUAAACACAUUGUAGAAAUAGCAGGCUUUCAUUCACACAGCUUUACACUGGACAGGACAGGAAGCUGAUCAGUUUUCAGAACAACAGGAUGGCUUUGAACUGGCAGUUCAGUCAUUCUGGAGGAAAGAACAACAAACUAAGCAAUUCACCAGGGAGGCAAGACCAGGAGCCUCACGGGCCGAGACACUUGCUCAACAUGGGGUACAAACAGGCAAGAGGAACGUGGAUGUGACAGGCUGGGACUGUCCCAUUCACACAUGCAACAAAACAGAGACAGCAAUCAGCAAGUCCCAGAGCGUGGAUCCCCAGUCCCACUCCACGCUGCGGCUCUGCCAACCUCCCCUCUGAGAAGGAACGUCACACAGGGCUUUGUGCUCCAAACAGCCUCACUAAAGCUCCUUUUUAUAGGAAGAAUGAGGCUCUCUUGCAGGUGUGUGAGAGCCCACUGCUGUGCCAGCCUUGACCUGAUUUUGAAGUGAGAACUUCUCAAUUACCUUUAACAAACAAUAUGCAGGGACAGCAGCACUGCAAUGGCACUGUGCUAAGGGUAGCACAAGUGUCGCUAUAUUGGUUUGAUUCACUGAUAGUAUAGAACCUGUGGUAGCAUUAAUCACCUGCUUGCAAUAACUAUAGAGGCUACAGAUUUGUGUGUUAUAUCUGUAUUGUUUGUUUUGGAACCCCUACCCGUAAAUCAGGCUCUAGAAAAAGCAAUUAUGGUAAAGAGUGGUGUGGUCUGAUCUAAAAAUCAGAGCUCAAACAUGGUCAAAUCUGCAGUGAGAGGGAGUGGCCUGUCUUCAUAAGCCAUUCUCAGCCCAGCUCUACCUGCUCAUUGGUGGAAGCUGGCAAGGGGCAGGGCAGAGAGAGUGCUGACCCCUCCCCUUUCCUCAAACCACAGGGACUCAUUCAUAUCAGGGAAGAGAAUAACAGCUCGCUCUGCAUGCCAACUGUAUUACACACAAGAAUCAGCCAAACCACUUGAGAAAGAGAAGCAUUUCCUAUGCAAAGCUGAGCGGUUUCGCUUGCACACACCACAGAGAGCAGUCUGCUUCUAAAGAAGUACUUUCAGCAAGCAGGAACCAAGCACUAACCUGGGUUCAAUUCAAAUUAUGCGAUUCUGUAUCCGCAAGCACCUUUAGAACCAGCAUCCAAAUACUGAUGACUGACUUACCAAAAAGACUACUGCACCGGUUUAUUUUAAUAACAGUAUCAAUUACAAUCUAAUUAACAACUGAUUCUACAACUUAACUAACACUGCCACCUUGUGGUCUGAUUUAAUACUGCAUCUGGCACCAGCAUUAAUAAUAUAACCAUUUUUGAUAAGAGAAGCACAGGAAAUAAGAGACUGGAAAAGCUAACAGUUUCCACCAGAGUCUGAGGAACAGGGGAGCUUUGACUCAGCUGAACAAGGAGGUCUUUAUCCAGGGCUCAGCGCCGGGAAGCUCUAGAACAAAUCCGUUUUACUGGCUGUGAAAACCGAGAGGCUGGGAAGUUGGACUGUGCGUUUCCUUUGAUAUAAAUUCAUUAGGAGGGUGGUAGGGGGGGUAUAACCGGAGGUCAGCCUGGCAGCUCAGUAUUAACCCUUUCCAUCCCUUCUGAAAUCACGAGUGGAAGAUCAGCAAGGAGAGUGCAGCUCACUUUCAUAUAUUUACAAAAUACACGGCAGUACUGUGGGUUUGAUUCUCUCCACUGCACACACGUUCUGCAUUCUGUUGCUAACAGUUUACUGACCCCAAU